UAGCAGCACAGAAAUAUUGGCCCUCGUGGGGUUUGGACCCUGGCCAGUAUUCGUUGUGCUGCCCCA
RNAcentral lists this microRNA precursor (66 nucleotides) under Ornithorhynchus anatinus (platypus). RNAcentral's name for it is "Oan-Mir-15-P2d_pre stem-loop". Lineage: Eukaryota; Metazoa; Chordata; Mammalia; Monotremata; Ornithorhynchidae. The record is from RNAcentral.